CUGAUGUCUGGUGCUGUUGGCUGCUAAGUUUUUAUAAAACAGCAAAUUGCCCCUUCCUUAAUGCUGACUAUUUGCGAUGCCCCAAAAGAGUCUGGAGCUCCCCUUAAUGCAAGUCCCAGCCUUUUCCCUGCCUCUUCCCACCCAGUAUUCAGCCCUUUCCUGGGACCCAAACUGACUUAGCAGCUGUUCUGCUGGGGCUUGGCCUGGCUGAGCCCAGCCACAGCUUACACUGAUAAGAAGGCUGCUGUUUUAGUGUCCCCUCCUCCAUUUUUUUUUUUAGCUUUUCAGCCUCUCCUUUCCCUUCCACAAGCAGCCGGGGUGGGUCGUCAGGCUCCCAGAGAUGAGGGAGCUCGAGGUCUGUGUGGAGCGGUUAGGAAACGGCUGGGUUGAGCCGCCUUGUCCGUGAGAUCCAGCGUGGCGGGGCAGGAACCCCCCCACCCCUGCAAGCCGGCAGCUCGGGGCUUCGCCCUACACCAGAAAUGCUGCUUUUCUUUCUAAACUUGUCUGUGUUUCAAGACCAGGAAGAAGCCAAGCUCGCACCCCGGCCCUCCACUCCCAGGCUGGCCAGAAGUCCAAGCCACCAGCAGUCAUCCACGGGCUGAGGGAGGGGCUGUGGAUGCCAACUGUGCCAGCCUGAGGCACCCCAGGUAAAGUCCGUGGUUCACCUGGUCUCCACCGCACCUUACUAGGGGCGCUGGCACAUUAGGGCAACUCUUAUGUCCAAACAGUACCUUCUCCCUUGGGUGAUGGAGGGCAAGUGUGUUGAGACCGACACGCAACGGGAACAUCUGGACAGGUUGGCACGAGGGUGGGAAGGCUGUAGGCCCCUGCUAGGGGAAGGCAUCCUCUCCAGACACGGCGUGGUUUCUGGGGCAGCCUCAUUGAAAGGGUCUGUCGCUCCAAGGAGGGCUGGAAGGGGGCGUAGGGGAUGUCAAAGGCUGGCGCGAGGCAUCGUGGAAGGAAGGUUUUGGUGGGUAGGUGGUGGCUGAGAGCUGGGAUGCUCGGAGGGUAGAGAAGAGAAUGGGACAGGGGCCUGGACAGGAUGGUGCAGUGGUAGAGACCGCCCAGCCCAGCCUCUGCCGGCUCCGCCUGCGCCGCCUUUUUCCCAGAGAAGGUCUGUGGACACAGGACUGACCUUUCACAGGAGAAACUUCACUGCCCCUCCCCUCCCCAGCCUGCUGCCUCUGCCCCUCCUGCCCCUGGACAGACAUUUCUUCACAGGUGUUACCUAGUCUGCUUGUUGUGGUUUGAUUAUUGUAAUAACUGUUAGAAACCCGUGGAGUUGUUCUAUUUUUUUAAAUGAAAAAUAAAGGUGUCCCAUACAAGGA
Gavialis gangeticus (Gharial) is the source of this 1328-nucleotide long non-coding RNA. RefSeq lists it as uncharacterized. The record is from RefSeq and is a predicted model, not a curated record. The transcript has 3 exons. Lineage: Eukaryota; Metazoa; Chordata; Crocodylia; Gavialidae.